Malurus melanocephalus (red-backed fairy wren) is the source of this 274-nucleotide long non-coding RNA. RefSeq lists it as uncharacterized. Lineage: Eukaryota; Metazoa; Chordata; Aves; Passeriformes; Maluridae. The record is from RefSeq and is a predicted model, not a curated record. The transcript is spliced from 3 exons.
GGWUUGCUAAGCACCUUUUCCUUUAGCAGUUGUGGCAGCUGCAACCUGAAAUAUUGCCACAGACAAAGCCAGCAGAAGUAAAAUCCCAACUUCUUGUGAGGUUUCCCAUCUCCUAUUUCCUCCAGACUGAAAUGAAAAUGUUCUACUAGGCAGGCACAGCAAGGUUAUCAGUUGAGGUCACUACCCUGACAUACAACAUGCUGCACAGAAGAGAAUUGCUAGAAAUCAUAUCCAAGCUACACAAAGGUGAAUUUAAUCUCCAGUUCUGCAGGUG